RNAcentral lists this ribosomal RNA (529 nucleotides) under uncultured Mortierella. RNAcentral describes it as "eukaryotic LSU rRNA". The stretch from base 61 to 214 matches the Rfam family "5.8S ribosomal RNA". The record is from RNAcentral. Lineage: Eukaryota; Fungi; Mortierellomycota; Mortierellomycetes; Mortierellales; Mortierellaceae.
CAUCAACUCUAUCUUAACUCUUUGUCUGAAAAAUAUUAUGAAUAAAACAAUUCAAAAUACAACUUUCAACAACGGAUCUCUUGGCUCUCGCAUCGAUGAAGAACGCAGCGAAAUGCGAUACGUAAUGUGAAUUGCAGAAUUCAGUGAAUCAUCGAAUCUUUGAACGCAUAUUGCGCUCUUUGGUAUUCCGAAGAGCAUGCUUGUUUGAGUAUCAGUAAACACCUCAAAGCCUUUUUUCUUUUUUGAAGAAAGGCUUUGGACUUGAGCAAUCCCAACACCAAUCUUUUAAAGAGAGGGGGCGGGUUGCUUGAAAUGCAGGUGCAGCUGGACAUUCUCCUGAGCUAAAAGCAUAUUCAUUUAGUCCCGUCAAACGGAUUAUUACUUUUUCUGCAGCUAAUAUAAAGGGAGUUUGACCAUUUUGGCUGACUGAUGCAGGAUUUUCACAAGAGUCUUCAAAACCUCUUGUUAAACUCGAUCUCAAAUCAAGUAAGACUACCCGCUGAACUUAAGCAUAUCACUAAGCGGAGGA